GGGACUGUAGCUCAGCCUGGGAGAGCACUAGACUGAAGAUCUAGGUGUCGGGUGUUCAAAUCCCCCCAGUCCCA
This 74-nucleotide transfer RNA is filed under the name Candidatus Woesearchaeota archaeon. Its description in RNAcentral is "tRNA-Phe". It matches the Rfam family "tRNA". From Rfam's summary of the family: Transfer RNA (tRNA) molecules are approximately 80 nucleotides in length. Their secondary structure includes four short double-helical elements and three loops (D, anti-codon, and T loops). Lineage: Archaea; Nanobdellati; Candidatus Woesearchaeota. The record is from RNAcentral.